CCUACGGGAGGCAGCAGUAGGGAAUCUUCCGCAAUGGACGAAAGUCUGACGGAGCAACGCCGCGUGAACGAUGAAGGCCUUCGGGUCGUAAAGUUCUGUUGUUAGGGAAGAACAAGUGCUAGUUGAAUAAGCUGGCACCUUGACGGUACCUAACCAGAAAGCCACGGCUAACUACGUGCCAGCAGCCGCGGUAAUACGUAGGUGGCAAGCGUUGUCCGGAAUUAUUGGGCGUAAAGCGCGCGCAGGCGGUUUCUUAAGUCUGAUGUGAAAGCCCCCGGCUCAACCGGGGAGGGUCAUUGGAAACUGGGAAACUUGAGUGCAGAAGAGGAAAGUGGAAUUCCAAGUGUAGCGGUGAAAUGCGUAGAGAUUUGGAGGAACACCAGUGGCGAAGGCGACUUUCUGGUCUGUAACUGACGCUGAGGCGCGAAAGCGUGGGGAGCAAACAGGAUUAGAUACCCUGGUAGUCCACGCUGUAAACGAUGAGUGCUAAGUGUUAGAGGGUUUCCGCCCUUUAGUGCUGAAGUUAACGCAUUAAGCACUCCGCCUGGGGAGUACGGUCGCAAGACUGAAACUCAAAAUGAAUUGACGG
This 589-nucleotide ribosomal RNA is filed under the name uncultured bacterium. RNAcentral describes it as "bacterial SSU rRNA". It matches the Rfam family "Bacterial small subunit ribosomal RNA", at positions 338 to 916 of the family's 1533-position model. The record is from RNAcentral.